AGUGAACGCUGGCGGUAGGCCUAACACAUGCAAGUCGAACGGCAGCACAGUAAGAGCUUGCUCUUACGGGUGGCGAGUGGCGGACGGGUGAGGAAUACAUCGGAAUCUACUUUUUCGUGGGGGAUAACGUAGGGAAACUUACGCUAAUACCGCAUACGACCUACGGGUGAAAGCAGGGGAUCUUCGGACCUUGCGCGAUUGAAUGAGCCGAUGUCGGAUUAGCUAGUUGGCGGGGUAAAGGCCCACCAAGGCGACGAUCCGUAGCUGGUCUGAGAGGAUGAUCAGCCACACUGGAACUGAGACACGGUCCAGAUCCCUCGGGGAGGCGGAAGUGGGGAAUAUUGGACAAGGGGGGAAAGCCUGACCCAGCAAUACGGCGUGGGUGAAGAAGUCCUUCGGGUUGUAAAGCCCUUUUGUUGGGAAAGAAAAGUAGCAGGUUAAUACGCCGCUGUUCUGACGGUACCCUAAGAAUAAGCACCGGCUAACUUCGUG
This 492-nucleotide ribosomal RNA is filed under the name uncultured bacterium. Its description in RNAcentral is "partial 16S ribosomal RNA". It matches the Rfam family "Bacterial small subunit ribosomal RNA", at positions 29 to 507 of the family's 1533-position model. The record is from RNAcentral.